UCACAUAUUUUCAUGACGCUUUCUGAAGUAAGUUACCAAGUUGAAAUCUGUUCUCUCAGCACUACUUUAUCAUGUAUGAUAUUUUUAUUCUUUCUUUCCCAGAACUUAUCUCUUUCCUUGUGUUGGAAAUAAUAUUUUAUAUGGUUACUUGACAGUAUGAGCCAGAGCUAUUUCCUAGUCUGAUUUCUCCUGGGUGUACUCUGCUUUCUGGUGUCUGAUUUGAUGACAAGAAUAUUGUGUCGACGGUCAGCGCCUGGAUUGUAAAUUGGACUUGAAAGCAAUAGCUCUCUAGGCACGCAAUGCAGAUUAUAACCCCAAGGUAAAAUCAUUAUCCUAAUGCAUUCUUCAUGAUGUUGGCUUUUCCCCCUUACUGGGCCUGUGAUGCUAUAUUUCCAAAAACAUCCAAAUUUUAUCACUUUGCUAGCAUCCACAUGUCUUUGUGAAUCCUGCUGUGUAGAUGGUGGAUAGCCUGGUAAAAGAGUAGAGACUUUGUACAUGGGUUCUUUUGUGUAUGUACCCUUCUGAAUUUGUGCUCAUUCGCUGAGAAAUUAGAGAACACCAGCUUACUAAAUAAUUUUUGAUCGAAUGGUGAGUUGAGACUCUCUACCUGACUGCCUUUUAGGCUUUAGCAUGAGGGUAAAGGUUAUUCAAGCAUAUAAACGGUCAACUAAUAAUAUGAAGGGUUAUACCACAGAAAAGUCAUUAUACCUGGAAGCUGACAAUCAAGCAAUAACCUUAGGGAAUCUACAACUAAAGCAUGCAUGACAUCCACCUAAACAAAAUUUAGACAUGUACUCCCUCCGUCCCAUAAUGUAAGACGUUUUUUGACACUAGUGUAGUGUAAAAAAACGUCUUACAUUAUGGGACGAAGGGAGUACAUUGCACACACAUAUUUCAGCAUACAUUGAGCCAAAAAAAUCACACACCGUGGCCUUCUACCCUACUACUUGCUGAACAAAAUUCAUUCGUCGCACACAUUAGCCUGUUGCAGUACUACUUGCUGAAGCUGCUGAGAACGCACAAUCAACAAGAACAACACAAAAUCGUGAAAGAGAGGGUCGAUGACUCGAGGUAAUCAGUUACCAUGUCUAAUUGUGAUCUGGUGGGGAAGAGAAGCUGGAUUGGCAAGGAAGAGAAGCUCCAGCCAGCGACAAGGAAGAGAAGUAAGACCCCAACGGCGGUGCUGAAUCAGAGAAGGAUCCAGCAGUGCAAUGCGGUGGCAGUGGAAGCGGCACGAUCCAGUAGUGCAUGGCGGCGGCGGCACAACAGGAGUAGUGCGCGGCCUCUCCUCCCCGACGGAACCGGCGCCCCACCUGCCUCUCUGAUGGUACCACACACCCGCAACAUCCCUCUUCCCUCCAGUACAUAAUUAGCAAUUGCAUCAACCAGGCAUCAAUUGUUCUAAAUCAUCCAUCAAACCAUAUUCUAGGGACUAAUAGAAAGUUACCUUUUGAGGCAAAAGCUUCAGCUCAAACAUGAUGAAUUUUGGCCUGAAUCUUGGCUAACUCAUCUCCUUUCUUUUGUCCCCCAUAGUCUUCUCUCUCCCUGGCUAUUUCCCCUAGAUGUGUUAGCACAGGAGUAGCAGCUCACCUCUCAAGGCCCCUCUCUCUGCUCCAUCGCAUCUGUGAUCCACUUCUAUAAAUGCGGGCAGACAACAUCACCUAAUCUUGCAUAAUCUAAACCAAGACCGCAUCAAAGAACCAGGUUAGAAUCAAAGGAGGGAGACAGGAGGGAAGUAAAUGCAUAAUCAGUUAUCUGCUUGUAACUCAAGGAAUUAUACCGCAACAUUUCCUCAAGUGCAGGCAAACUCGAAUGAUGGUUAGUAAAUGUUACAUGUUUGCUAACUCUACAUUUUUUCUUACAUAAGUAUGCAUUUGGACUGAUAAUCAUGCCUGAUUUGUAGUGCCGCUUGAUGAAACAUCUGCUUUUAACUCCGGAACUCAUGCUUCAGCAUAUGUUCCAUUGUGGGAUAAUCCUACACUUGGUUAGUAAUAUUUCCUAUUUUCUUAACCUGCAUCCGUGAUGCGUCACUUAACAUGUUUAUUAGUAUGUCAUGUCACUCCUGCUUGACAUGCCAAUUCACAAAAAAUAAAAAAAUCCCAGUGACCUGUGAACCUGCCUGUUAACUUAAAAUUUGAUCAGUUGUGGUGCCUUUAUGGACCAUGACUGGAUACAUAAUAAGUUUGAUAUUUUUUUUUGCUGUGACCACAGGGAGGCAAGCCCAAGAUCACAUGAAGGUGUCAUUUGCAUUGCAACUGAACACUACAUAUCAGUAGUUCAGAUGUUUCCUCUUUGAUCACAUGAAGGUGCCAUUUUGUUUCCUGAAUUUUUCCGAAGGCAUGGUUAGACAUUUGUCAUGUGAGUUUGUGCAAUGGGUACCGAGCUUACACUCACGUGCUUAACCUGACUUCUUCUACAAGAUAGGAACAUGCGUUGGCUGUAUGAACAUGCGUUGUGUAUAAACUGUGUGUAUAAAC
Molecule: long non-coding RNA, 2477 nt
Filed under: Triticum aestivum (bread wheat)
Lineage: Eukaryota; Viridiplantae; Streptophyta; Magnoliopsida; Poales; Poaceae
Description: long non-coding RNA (TAES_LNC017941)
Rfam family: MIR1120/MIR1122 microRNA precursor family (bases 792-878)
Source: RNAcentral